UCCUACGGGAGGCAGCAGUGGGGAAUAUUGCACAAUGGGCGCAAGCCUGAUGCAGCCAUGCCGCGUGUAUGAAGAAGGCCUUCGGGUUGUAAAGUACUUUCAGCGAGGAGGAAGGUGUUGUGGUUAAUAACCGCAGCAAUUGACGUUACUCGCAGAAGAAGCACCGGCUAACUCCGUGCCAGCAGCCGCGGUAAUA
This 196-nucleotide ribosomal RNA is filed under the name uncultured bacterium. Its description in RNAcentral is "partial 16S ribosomal RNA". It matches the Rfam family "Bacterial small subunit ribosomal RNA", at positions 337 to 525 of the family's 1533-position model. The record is from RNAcentral.